RNAcentral lists this ribosomal RNA (1148 nucleotides) under Escherichia coli. RNAcentral describes it as "partial 23S ribosomal RNA". It matches the Rfam family "Bacterial large subunit ribosomal RNA", at positions 1 to 1191 of the family's 2925-position model. The record is from RNAcentral. Lineage: Bacteria; Pseudomonadati; Pseudomonadota; Gammaproteobacteria; Enterobacterales; Enterobacteriaceae.
GGUUAAGCGACUAAGCGUACACGGUGGAUGCCCUGGCAGUCAGAGGCGAUGAAGGACGUGCUAAUCUGCGAUAAGCGUCGGUGAGGUGAUAUGAACCGUUAUAACCGGCGAUUUCCGAAUGGGGAAACCCAGUGUGUUUCGACACACUAUCAUUAACUGAAUCCAUAGGUUAAUGAGGCGAACCGGGGGAACUGAAACAUCUAAGUACCCCGAGGAAAAGAAAUCAACCGAGAUUCCCCCAGUAGCGGCGAGCGAACGGGGAGGAGCCCAGAGCCUGAAUCAGUGUGUGUGUUAGUGGAAGCGUCUGGAAAGGCGCGCGAUACAGGGUGACAGCCCCGUACACAAAAAUGCACAUGCUGUGAGCUCGAUGAGUAGGGCGGGACACGUGGUAUCCUGUCUGAAUAUGGGGGGACCAUCCUCCAAGGCUAAAUACUCCUGACUGACCGAUAGUGAACCAGUACCGUGAGGGAAAGGCGAAAAGAACCCCGGCGAGGGGAGUGAAAAAGAACCUGAAACCGUGUACGUACAAGCAGUGGGAGCCUCUUAAUGGGGUGACUGCGUACCUUUUGUAUAAUGGGUCAGCGACUUAUAUUCUGUAGCAAGGUUAACCGAAUAGGGGAGCCGAAGGGAAACCGAGUCUUAACUGGGCGUUAAGUUGCAGGGUAUAGACCCGAAACCCGGUGAUCUAGCCAUGGGCAGGUUGAAGGUUGGGUAACACUAACUGGAGGACCGAACCGACUAAUGUUGAAAAAUUAGCGGAUGACUUGUGGCUGGGGGUGAAAGGCCAAUCAAACCGGGAGAUAGCUGGUUCUCCCCGAAAGCUAUUUAGGUAGCGCCUCGUGAAUUCAUCUCCGGGGGUAGAGCACUGUUUCGGCAAGGGGGUCAUCCCGACUUACCAACCCGAUGCAAACUGCGAAUACCGGAGAAUGUUAUCACGGGAGACACACGGCGGGUGCUAACGUCCGUCGUGAAGAGGGAAACAACCCAGACCGCCAGCUAAGGUCCCAAAGUCAUGGUUAAGUGGGAAACGAUGUGGGAAGGCCCAGACAGCCAGGAUGUUGGCUUAGAAGCAGCCAUCAUUUAAAGAAAGCGUAAUAGCUCACUGGUCGAGUCGGCCUGCGCGGAAGAUGUAACGGGGCUAAACCAUG